Felis catus (domestic cat) is the source of this 7468-nucleotide long non-coding RNA. RefSeq lists it as uncharacterized. Lineage: Eukaryota; Metazoa; Chordata; Mammalia; Carnivora; Felidae. The transcript is spliced from 3 exons. The record is from RefSeq and is a predicted model, not a curated record.
CCCGCCCCCAGACAGGGAGGGCAUUUGUGCAGGUGCAGGAUGGGUGAGGCAGGCAGUUGUGCCAGUCUCUAGGGCACACAGAACUGUUUGGAUUGUGUCACUCAUUUGCACAAAAAACUUCACACACACACAAAAAACAAUCCUCAUUUGUUACAAGACUGCCCGUGAUCUGACUGCUGUGUGUCCAAACUCAUUUAGUCUUCUCGCCUUGUGCAUCGUGUCCAGUCACCGUGGCCUCCCUGCUGUUCCCGGCAUGUCUGGCCCAUUCCUGCCUCAGGACAUUUGCACCUGCUGUUUCCCAGGCUUAGAGCUCUUUCCUUCCGGUUACUAGCAUGUCUCACUCCGUCAUCUCCUUCAGGUUUUCACUUAGAGUCUGUCUCCUCACCUCAGUGAGGCCCCUCCUGAGCAUCCUGUCCCCUGUUACGAUAUGAUACGAAGGGUACGUCACCUCGGGGGCAGUCUUUUCCGAUAUGCAGAACCCCAGCCUGGGAACAACAUCAGACGACUCCCACCGAGGGGCACUUGGCACUGCUCACACCUGUCAAAGCCGUGAAAACCCAGGGUGGCUGGGGAACUGGUGCAGACCAGAGGGGGGUCGCUCAGGGGACGUGACGAGGCAGUGGGUGUGCCGGGUGAGGUCCGGGAGCAGGAGGGGGACGCCAGUGGAGCGUCUGGUGACAUCGGGACUGGGUCUGGAGUUCUGCUGGUGAUGUGGCAGCCUUGGUGUGCCACAGGGAACCUGAGGGCUCUGUGCCGUCUUUGCAUCAUCUCUGUAAGUCUAGAAUAUUCUAAAGCAAACUUUCUGUUUGAAAGAGUCCGAGUUUCCAUUGCCUGGACAUUCUUUUUGCCUCCUCCCUCCUUAUGUUUCUCUGUGGCCCUUAUGGCACCGGACUCUGGCAUAUUUUGCUGAUUUCGUCACCGUCUCCGACCCCGUUAGAAUGUGAGUUCUGGGGUGCAGGGGUUUCGCGGGGCUGGGUUCCCAGGACGAGGACAGUGUUGGGUGUGGCGUGUGAUCCGUGCUCAGGAAAUGCAAGUUGAGUGCGAGGGAACCUGGCGUCCGGGCUCCCAGCCGUCUCAUCCCCACAGCUCUUCGCAGCCACUUUUGCACGCUGCUGACUGAUGGCCCACGGUGGCCCACCUUGUCUGGGCCAGUGGCUUCCCCCACCUGCCAAGCCCUCCCUCCUCCCGUCUGCACAUUCAACUCUGUCUUUCAGCUUCCAGAUCAGCUCUCCAGAGGAGCUGCCUCUGACCUCGAACCCAGAAGCAGCCUUGGGCUGUGCAGGUCUGGCCCGGUGCCUGGCUGUAUGCCCUGUGGCCGCCCCGUGGCCGCCCCGUGGCACUCACCACCGGUCCAGGCAGUGAGCGCUUCUGCUCCGUGACUUCCUCCACUGGACUGCGACCCUCUCCAGGUCAGCGUGACUUUUGCUCGUCUUAUUCCCCAUGGAGGGGACACGUGGCGUUACUCCGUGGACGUCUGUUGAGUGGGUAAAGCUGAAGGUUGAUGGCAGAGUAACGGGGGGGCUGGGAGGUGGAUGAUGAGGUGGCUGUGCUAGUCCAUCACCACGUGGCUCUGGGGAUAAGUGGCCAACACCAAGCUGGCAAGUGGUCUGCACAUUGAAUGUUAGAAAAUAAGUAAGUAGUGGGUUCGUGCCCAAGAAUCUGGAGAAGCACUUAGAGGAGACAGUGUGUGCCAGGUUCCCGGGUCACCGCCGAGGCGGCCGCGAGAGCGGGCGCAGGGAGCAGGGGCCAGGUGAGGGGAGCCCCGGGGUCUGGCAGGACCCGAAGGCGCUGGCUUUCUUUGGACGACGUGUACGGAUUCGGCGAGGCUGCGGUGGCGUGCCGAGGGCGCGUUAAUGUGUAACCGCGGGCACAAGUCUCUGCAAGGCACCCGGGUCUGCACCAGUGCCGAACGGGGCGUCUGCUGGCCGCUUACCCACCAGGAUUGCCGUGCAGGGGCCGCAGGCCUGCCGGCAGAGCACGUGAGCAGGAGAGAGAACAUUCCUCCUGCCUGGCCAUGUGGAAACGUGUAUUUUUCCGCAGCCUCAUGAACGCAAAGUGAGUUCAGACCGAGUGAGUGAAUCUGAGACUAUAAAAGGGAUGGACAGAUGGACAGAUGGACACAGGACAGGUUGGUCCUGUGAUGAGUUUGUAAAUCUGGCUGUGUAAACAUCCAGCCCGGCCGCUCCGAAAAGCCCGGCCCCUGGCACGCUGGCCACAGGAGACCCUGCCCAGCUCCCCAGUACCCGGAGGCCAGCUGACCCCGGGCGGGCCCACUGCUCACAAGCCCCCCCUUGAGCCCCGCUGACCCUUCCUGGAGCAGAAUGUAGAGGAACACGGAACCGUUGAGUGGCUCAGAACGAUUGAGGAAGCCUAUGCUUUGGACCAGGGGGCCCGGCUGCAUAAACAGAGCCCCUGGGCCCGGGCCAGGCCUGCCUCCUGUGUCUCUGGAACGCGAACCCCGGGCACCUGCAGGGCCCCGCGCAGAGCUGGGACUCGCAGGGCUGGUGGCACAGGAGCGGGAAGGAGAACCGAGCUGUCGAAGGACCUGGGGAUGUGGCCCUCAUGAGUCUGUCUUCCCUAAGGAGCACCCACGGGUGUGGGCCACGCUGCCUGCAGCAGAGCCGUGGAUGUGUGUUCCUAUCCCUCCCCUGCAGGGCUCCGGAGUCCCAGAGCCGGGGAGGGGGGCUCCCUGGACGGGUGGACGGGGGCAGGCCUGACGGGGCUGCGUGUUGGCUCAGCUAGAAUUAGGACCACCCAGAUGCCCAGUGAAACGUGGAUUUCGGACAACAGACAGUGGGAUUGUGCUUACGAAACAUUUGAGAUUCACGUAUACUAAAACGUGAUUCGUCGCCAGUAUUUCACGCAUCCACCUGUCGAUUGCUCAGUCUUGCCACCAGGGCCAGAAACACGGUUCUCCUGGACCUGUGCCGUGGCCGGGGCCCUGCCUGUAAUGGCUACUUUCAGGAGGUGGCCCCCCCCACCGGUUCCCCCGGUUCCACACCUGGAUCCCCACCUCAGUUGGCCUUCCCACAAGCUGUUGGGAACUGGUUACAGCGCCCGAGAACCGCUGAUCCGUCUCCCGUGGGAAGGCAGCUGGGUCGGGAUGACCGAGGUGGUGACAGAGAUGGGAAGGUAUCAGGGACCGGGGGUGUGUGGGCCUCGGUUUCCGGCCCUUCUGGUGUUCUCCUCAGCUCCAGGCUCAGGGCCACCAUGGCCAUGCUCAGAGGGGGUGCAGCUCCGGCCUCUGACCUGACCGGACCCUGUCGAGAAUUCCUGAAGACAGAGUGACGGGGGGGGGUCACCCCCUUCCCGGCCCCGUAAGUUAUUAGUGCUGACAGGGAACACAGGGAGUGGGUGGGACCCUCCCCUGCAGACGGGCAGCUGAGGCUGGCGGCUAAAGGGAGCACUGGCUAGUGAGCCUCUCCCUCCUCCCACCCUCCCGUCUCCCCGUCGUCCGGGGCGGGUGUGCCGUUCAGGACUAGUGCUCUGUGACGUAGCCAGGGGUUGGAGGCCGUGUUUGCAAGGUACCUACGGCAACAAUGUAUCUCUUCAGAGCGACACGAGGCAGUGUGAGGAGACCAGGUGGCACUGACAGUUCAUUUGUGGAAAAGGACGUGGCCCUCGUUAUAACGCAAAGUGGCCGUAUGGCCUGGAUCUAGAGGACAAGAGGAAUCAGCUGCUCGCAAUGACCGACUGAGCCAAAUGCGAAGAUAUCAGGCAGGCCCUGACCUUCAUGCUUCGACAGGUCCUGACAAGUGACAGGCACGUGGGCAGCCUAUCAGGUCCACACGUUUCCUGCAAUCCCCCAGUCGGCAAGGCCCUAAGGACCGGGCGCCUGGCCCACCUUGUCCGGUAACUUGAGUCCGGCUCCGCCCUUCGCCUGUGUGGACCGCGGUGGCCUCUGCUCGGCGGGGUGGCCGCAUCUGCUCCCGGCUCCGGGAGGUCUGCUAAAGCCCAUUCAGGUGCACCGCUGGCAGGUCAGGUGGUCCACGUGCCGAGGGGAGGAGACAGCGUCCUUACCCGGUUUCUGCUUCAUUCACGGUUGGAGCUGACGAAUUCUACAGGCUCCCUUUGGCCGGGGGUAAAACAUUGAUUUCCUACCUGCGUGGGCACAUCUGUGACGCACUCCUUAAGGUUUUACCUGGCAAGCCCACGGAGUUGUGCUUUUCUUCCCGGAACGUUCUUCUUCAUAUGUUCCCGCUGUAGUUAAGGGAGCAGGAGUGGCAUGGAGCUGUUUGCUGUGACUGAAGACGUGCCAGGCAGAGUGGCAUUCGGGGGAAGGUGGCAAACAGACUGAGGAUAGGGGCUGUGUUAUUUGGAGUGUCGGUUUUACUUGUUCUAAGAAAACAAGCGUGUUUUGUCCGGAAUGCUGCGGAUUCCGUAUUCAUUUCCUUGAUGGAACGGCAGGGUCCCCGAAACACCAUUUCUUUGGAUUGUUUGAUCCUUAGCUUGGAAAGGUUGGGAACCCACGGGAUCUGAACCCCAGACGCGCAUCCAGCCAGAAGGUCUGGUUUUGUUUCCCCUGACACAUUGAUUUGGCCUGGGAAAGGUCGCUGUCCUGGGACACACAGAAAGCUUUCGGAUACGCGUGGCAGUGCUGUGAGCUGGAGUCCGGGAGACCGUGUAUUGAGAUGCUCGGUUGGGUCGCAGGCAGAGUUGUCUUGUUGGGGACGGUGUUUCCAAGACAACGACCGGUGGUUAAGAGGUGAUGAUUCAAAAAAAAAGCCUUCACCUGUGCUCGCCCGGCUUUCAUCUUUCGCAGACAAAGCAGGCUGGGGCUUGGGCCUCGGUCUGUGGCAUGCUUAGGGCCCGGGUAUUAAAGGGGCUGGAUCACCCUCAGGCUUUUAAGGGUUUUUUUGGGUUAAAUUGAUGAGCAUGUAUAAUAAAUUGAAGCUUUGUUGUUUGGCGGAUUUUUUUCUCUAUUUGUUAUUUUAUCAGUUAAGAGAAGGGGGUGGGGGGGGGCGUUCGUCUCUCCUCCCACAUCUCAGAUUUGCCUUGAGAUUUGUCAUCGACUGGGAUGGGCUUGGAUAUGACUAGCAUUUUUGUAUGUGUCUGUUUCUCCAAGUUGCCUGGAAUCCAAGCACCCGAGUGUCUAGAUGGCCGGUGUGUAGAGUCUUGACAGGGUUUGCACAGGGCCCAGGGGACCGGUGUCCCCUGUGUCCCUCCAUGGCGAGGGCCUGACCUGUCCUCGCAGGGGACACACCCAGCAGAUUCUUCUCUGAUGCAAAUUGGGACUUCAUUUAUGUCAGUCUGUCAUUUUCUUCUGUUUAUUUGUGUCUUUGGAAUUUUGUCUUGUUCAAAGCAGAACUGAAUGAAUUUAGUGAGCGUGUGAGUUUUUGGGACUGCUUGCCUUUGGGGAGCAGUGUGGCUCAGAAGGGCCAGGCCCACGCAGUGCCCGCACUGGUCAGCCUGUGAGCAGUCAGUUUCAGACGAGCCUGUCUGGGCUACAAACACGCUGUGUAAACACAGGGCACUCGGGAACACGCGGCAUUCUGCGGAAGGGGCCGUUUAAAGCAGGCUGUUCCGCGUACCCCCCCCCCCAUGCUUCUAUGACGUGUGUGUGCGAACGUAUCGAUAUGUGCCUUUUGGGGUGGGGGGCGGGCACUUUUACCAGAUACUUUCUUUUUCCUUCUACUAGGGCGCCAUGCUCGAGGGGGUGUGGAAAAGCCGCCGAAUACACAGGAAGGUUGUGUUGACUUUGUUCUCAGCCUUCACUCUUUUCCUUGGGCCAAGGUGACGGAGCUCUCUGCCCGUACUUGCCGAAGCGCCCGACUCCCCUUGUUUCAUUCUUUGUAAAUAAAACAGACUUCCCUCUUCCCUGCACCAUGGCUCGCUCCUAGUUUCCUCCACGGCUACAAUUCAGUCUAAUCGUAUCUCUUGGAAAUAAUAUGAGAAAGUUAUGCUGUUUUACUCCAUCAGAUUUAAUAAGUUUGGAUGCUUUCCAAGUACUCGGCAUUAAUCACACUUAAACCCAGGGCUUGAUAGUUCAUCCACCCGGAGUAUUCAUGUCAGAGACAUAAAACAAUCUGCUUUAAUGCCUACAGUUCCCUUUAAAUUGAGCACUUGCCUUGUGUUAAUAAAACUUGCUUUGUAUUGAGGGGCAGUACAACGGGCGAAGACUGGGGGUGGGGAUUUUUAUGUCACGUAAAGCGUUUCAUGGCCGAAUUUUCCUUUCCUGUUUUAAAGCUUUGCAGAAUUACAUGAAAAAAAAAAAAAAAGGAAUAAGGUAGGCUCAGAAUAACGAGGAAUUAGUCAGCUUGGCAGUCUCCAGAGCUUGGUUUCCAUCAGAGAGAUGACGUGGCCCUGACAAUUGGACAACACUCUUGAUGUUGCUCCUGUGUUCCAUUCUGGGAGUGACGCUGUGACACUGGACGCUGGUGUUUGCCCAUGUUCCAGGAGGAGGGUACGAUGCCCGCCGUCCGCGCCACCUGCCACAGUCGCGGGCUGCAGGGAUGCACACAGACCAGGCCAACGUUCAGAAGUACUGUCUUCGUCACCAGCAUGUGACCGUCCUUUUAAGUGGGAAGUGUCCUGCCUCUUCUCCACCCCCGUGACGAUGUGAAGAGAGUGGUUUCUUGAGCAUCUUUCUUCUUUUGGGCAUGGAAGUCUUCAUCUUGUAGCAGAGUUGCUUUAAUAUUUCAUCAGAGUGACGGAAGUUUCCACUUGUUCGUAUUUUCUUGAGGAUCCCUCCAUGGCGUGAGGGGAGGUUUGCUCCGGGGACGAAGGGAGCACAGAGAACAUGAACUCUGCCAGAGGUAGGCACUGACUGAUCCUGGGGAUGGCUCUCAGGUGGCUUUCCAUCCUUAGUCCACAGAGCGUGGUCACUGUGGGUGGCCUGCCAGGCUCUGAGGCAGAAAUACCUGUCAGCCAACACAUAUCCCAAGACCACGUGCUUUGUACUUAACUACCCUAGGAAGCACCCAGAUCGUAUGGGUACGGACUCUGCUACAAGACAUUCUAAACUCCAAGCCACGCAAGGUUUGAUAAGUAAUUGCUGACUGGCGUGUGCCCAUGAUGACUUCAGUGCAGUUCUGAGAAGGGGUGGACGAGGCUUGGGUGUUGGGUAGCCUCCCAGCAAGUGGUUGGUGUUUAAGGGUGCUGGCCCUUCCUCUGGCCUCACGCACUGAACCCAGCUGGUUCAUGCAUGACUUGGCCACUAGGGGAGUUUUCUGGAAGUGUAUUUUAUGUCAUCGGAUGAAGCCUACACACGCAAGAAAUCUCCAUUUCAAUCCGCGAAUACAGGACACUGCCUGGUCUGAAACCAACCAACAAGCAAACGGACGAGUUGGACGAUUGUGGUAGAGAAGGGCAUCCACUCUGUAGCGAGGGCUCAGCCUCAGCAGAUGAGACACCGCACAGUUACUUUCUUUUUUUUAAAUUUUUUUUUAUUAACGUUUAUUUAUUUUUGAGACAGAGAGACAGAGCAUGAACGGGGGAGGGUCAGAGAGAGAGGGAGACACAGAAUUGG